UGGGGAAUAUUGCACAAUGGGCGCAAGCCUGAUGCAGCCAUGCCGCGUGUAUGAAGAAGGCCUUCGGGUUGUAAAGUACUUUCAGCGGGGAGGAAGGCGAUAAGGUUAAUAACCUUGUCGAUUGACGUUACCCGCAGAAGAAGCACCGGCUAACUCCGUGCCAGCAGCCGCGGUAAUACGGAGGGUGCAAGCGUUAAUCGGCAUUAAUGGGCGUAAAGCGCACGCAGGCGGUCUGUCAAGUCGGAUGUGAAAUCCCCGGGCUCAACCUGGGAACUGCAUUCGAAACUGGCAGGCUAGAGUCUUGUAGAGGGGGGUAGAAUUCCAGGUGUAGCGGUGAAAUGCGUAGAGAUCUGGAGGAAUACCGGUGGCGAAGGCGGCCCCCUGGACAAAGACUGACGCUCAGGUGCGAAAGCGUGGGGAGCAAACA
Molecule: ribosomal RNA, 427 nt
Filed under: uncultured bacterium
Lineage: Bacteria
Description: partial 16S ribosomal RNA
Rfam family: Bacterial small subunit ribosomal RNA
Source: RNAcentral